Long non-coding RNA from Acipenser ruthenus (sterlet), 462 nucleotides. RefSeq lists it as uncharacterized. Lineage: Eukaryota; Metazoa; Chordata; Actinopteri; Acipenseriformes; Acipenseridae. The record is from RefSeq and is a predicted model, not a curated record. The transcript has 5 exons.
CCUAGGAACCAAAAAACAAUGAUUCUGCCUUUGUUGAGCUCAGUUGAGUUUUUGGAAACCAAGCUUGUUCUGGGGGCAGAGCUGCCUCAGAGGCAGUGCGAAUGCUUUGCUUCUGAUUGGUUACUCGUCUUUUGCCCAAGGCGGGUCUAAAAUGUUUAAUGGAGCAUUUGAUUGGUCAGAUUAUUUGACAAAAAACGGUUGGAAAUACUGUUUUAUUUGAACCACCGAUUGAAAUUCAACAUGGUAAAGAGAAAAAGAGGACAGAACAAAGCAAACCGAGGAAGUGAUCCUGUGAUGGGCUCAUCAGACCAAGCAGUUGGCAACAGUUGCCAAGAAAAUGAAAAAGACAACAGCAUAAGAGAGGACAGCAGUGGAUUUAUGGUUGAAACUUUAUUAAAACCACCGAAUUUAACAACAGAAAAGAUAUCAAGUAAGCAUAGAUGAACUAAAGAGAAGAUGCAG